UUUCAUUCUAAAAAAAGUCAUUGGGUCAUUCUGGGUAAUAAGUAAGAAGUGUAAGUUAUAUUUUAACACAGUUUGAGGGCUGUUAACACUAAUGAUGUGCUUAAUGUCCCAUGGAGCUCUAGUUUAGUCAUCAUUAGGUAUCAAACACUUGUCAGCCUGUUGGUUUUGGUCGCAUUAUUUCAGGACAGCGAGUACUUCAACUCCCUGCGAUGGAUCUUGGAGAACGAUCCCACAGAUCUGGACCUCAGGUUCACCAUCGACGAGGAGCUCUUUGGACAGACGCACCAGCAUGAGCUGAAACCAGGAGGUGCUGAUAUUGUGAUCAAUGACAACAACAAAAAGGAGUAUAUUCAUCUGGUGAUGCAGUGGAGGUUUGUGGAUCGGAUCCAGAAACAGAUGACGGCCUUCAAGGAGGGUUUCUAUGAGCUGAUCCCUCAGGACCUGAUCAAGAUCUUUGAUGAAAACGAGCUGGAGCUGCUGAUGUGUGGCUUAGGAGACGUGGACGUCAACGACUGGAGAGAAAACACCAAAUAUAAAAAUGGCUACAACCCAAAUCACCCUGUCAUCAUCUGGUUC
Long non-coding RNA from Sinocyclocheilus rhinocerous, 576 nucleotides. RefSeq lists it as uncharacterized. The record is from RefSeq and is a predicted model, not a curated record. Lineage: Eukaryota; Metazoa; Chordata; Actinopteri; Cypriniformes; Cyprinidae. The transcript has 5 exons.